GACGAACGCUGGCGGCGUGCUUAACACAUGCAAGUCGAACGGAAAGGCCCUGCUUUUGUGGGGUGCUCGAGUGGCGAACGGGUGAGUAACACGUGAGUAACCUGCCCUUGACUUUGGGAUAACUUCAGGAAACUGGGGCUAAUACCGGAUAGGAGCUCCUGCUGCAUGGUGGGGGUUGGAAAGUUUCGGCGGUUGGGGAUGGACUCGCGGCUUAUCAGCUUGUUGGUGGGGUAGUGGCUUACCAAGGCUUUGACGGGUAGCCGGCCUGAGAGGGUGACCGGCCACAUGGGGACGGAGAUACGGCCCAGACCCCUAGGGGGGGCAGGGGGGGGGAAUAUUGCACAAGGGGCGGAAGCCUGAUGCAGCAACCCCGCGUGGGGGAGGACGGCCUUCGGGUUGUAAACCGCUUUCCCCUGGGACGAAGGGUGGGUGACGGUAAUGGGUAAAGAAGCACCGGCUAACUACGU
Molecule: ribosomal RNA, 467 nt
Filed under: uncultured bacterium
Lineage: Bacteria
Description: partial 16S ribosomal RNA
Rfam family: Bacterial small subunit ribosomal RNA
Source: RNAcentral